This 254-nucleotide ribosomal RNA is filed under the name uncultured bacterium. RNAcentral's name for it is "partial 16S ribosomal RNA". It matches the Rfam family "Bacterial small subunit ribosomal RNA", at positions 524 to 776 of the family's 1533-position model. The record is from RNAcentral.
UACGAGAGGUGCGAGCGUUAUUCGGAAUCAUUGGGCGUAAAGGGUGCGUAGGCGGCAUAAUAAGUCUGUUGUUAAAUCUCCUGGCUCAACCAGGAAACCGCAAUGGAAACUGUAGUGCUAGAGGGUGAGAGAGAGAAGUGGAAUUCCAGGAGUUAGCGGUCAAAUGCGUAGAUCUCUGGAGGAACACCGAUGGCGAAAGCAGCUUCUUGGCUCAUUUCUGACGCUGAGGCACGAAAGCGUGGGGAGCAAACAGG